This 253-nucleotide unclassified non-coding RNA is filed under the name uncultured Parcubacteria group bacterium. Its description in RNAcentral is "contains 16S-23S intergenic spacer region". It matches the Rfam family "Bacterial small subunit ribosomal RNA", at positions 524 to 776 of the family's 1533-position model. The record is from RNAcentral.
UACAGAGGCCUCAAGCGUUACCCGGAAUCACUGGGCGUAAAGGGUGUGUAGGUGGUUAUGUUAGUCGCUUGUUAAAGCACGGGGCUUAACUCCGUGUCUGCAGGCGAAACGGCAUGACUAGAGGGUGCGAGAGGUGAAUGGAACUCAUGGUGUAGGGGUGAAAUCCGUUGAUAUCAUGGGGAACACCGAAAGCGAAGGCAAUUCACUGGCGCAUUCCUGACACUGAGACACGAAAGCGUGGGUAGCGAAUGGG